RNAcentral lists this ribosomal RNA (376 nucleotides) under uncultured bacterium. RNAcentral's name for it is "partial 16S ribosomal RNA". It matches the Rfam family "Bacterial small subunit ribosomal RNA", at positions 338 to 711 of the family's 1533-position model. The record is from RNAcentral.
CCUACGGGAGGCAGCAGUGAGGAAUAUUGGUCAAUGGGCGCGAGCCUGAACCAGCCAAGUAGCGUGAAGGAUGACUGCCCUACGGGUUGUAAACUUCUUUUAUAAAGGAAUAAAGUGAGGCACGUGUGCCUUUUUGUAUGUACUUUAUGAAUAAGGAUCGGCUAACUCCGUGCCAGCAGCCGCGGUAAUACGGAGGAUCCGAGCGUUAUCCGGAUUUAUUGGGUUUAAAGGGAGCGUAGAUGGGUUGUUAAGUCAGUUGUGAAAGUUUGCGGCUCAACCGGAAAAUUGCAAUUGAUACUGGGAGUCAUGAUUACAUUUGAGGUAGGCGAAAUUCGUGGUGGAGCGCGGAAAUGCUUAGAUAGCACGAAGAACCCCG